Molecule: ribosomal RNA, 253 nt
Filed under: uncultured bacterium
Lineage: Bacteria
Description: partial 16S ribosomal RNA
Rfam family: Bacterial small subunit ribosomal RNA
Source: RNAcentral
UACAGAGGUCCCGAGCGUUGUUCGGAUUUACUGGGCGUAAAGGGUGCGUAGGCGGUGGGGUAAGUUUGAGGUGAAAGCUCCGGGCUCAACCCGGAAAAUGCCUUGAAAACUAUCCGGCUAGAGGGUUGGAGGGGAGACUGGAAUUCUCGGUGUAGCAGUGAAAUGCGUAGAUCUCGAGGGGAACACCAAUGGCGAAGGCAGCUUGCUGGGCCUUACCUGACGCUCAGAGACGAAAGCGUGGGGAGCGAACGGG